This is a non-coding RNA of Gossypium raimondii (Peruvian cotton), 145 nucleotides long. Lineage: Eukaryota; Viridiplantae; Streptophyta; Magnoliopsida; Malvales; Malvaceae. The record is from Rfam.
UAUUAAAAUUUGCAUAUAUUUUUACUCUUAAAAAUUGGCAUGGUUGACAUAAUAAUCAUAUAGUUACACAUGGCUCAUCAUGUAUACAUCAUGUUGACGUACAAAUAUCAAUUUUUAACAGUAGAAAUAAAUGUAAUUUUUAACA